This 253-nucleotide ribosomal RNA is filed under the name uncultured bacterium. RNAcentral describes it as "partial 16S ribosomal RNA". It matches the Rfam family "Bacterial small subunit ribosomal RNA", at positions 524 to 776 of the family's 1533-position model. The record is from RNAcentral.
UACGUAGGGGGCAAGCGUUGUCCGGAAUCAUUGGGCGUAAAGAGCGUGUAGGCGGUCCGUUAAGUCGGCUGUGAAAGUCCAGGGCUCAACCCUGGGAUGCCGGCCGAUACUGGCGGACUAGAGUCCGGAAGAGGUGAGUGGAAUUCCCGGUGUAGCGGUGAAAUGCGCAGAUAUCAGGAAGAACACCAACGGCGAAGGCAGCUCGCUGGGACGGUACUGACGCUGAGGAGCGAAAGCGUGGGGAGCGAACAGG